GUGACUGCGUACCUUUUGUAUAAUGGGUCAGCGACUUAUAUUCUGUAGCAAGGUUAACCGAAUAGGGGAGCCGAAGGGAAACCGAGUCUUAACUGGGCGUUAAGUUGCAGGGUAUAGACCCGAAACCCGGUGAUCUAGCCAUGGGCAGGUUGAAGGUUGGGUAACACUAACUGGAGGACCGAACCGACUAAUGUUGAAAAAUUAGCGGAUGACUUGUGGCUGGGGGUGAAAGGCCAAUCAAACCGGGAGAUAGCUGGUUCUCCCCGAAAGCUAUUUAGGUAGCGCCUCGUGAAUUCAUCUCCGGGGGUAGAGCACUGUUUCGGCAAGGGGGUCAUCCCGACUUACCAACCCGAUGCAAACUGCGAAUACCGGAGAAUGUUAUCACGGGAGACACACGGCGGGUGCUAACGUCCGUCGUGAAGAGGGAAACAACCCAGACCGCCAGCUAAGGUCCCAAAGUCAUGGUUAAGUGGGAAACGAUGUGGGAAGGCCCAGACAGCCAGGAUGUUGGCUUAGAAGCAGCCAUCAUUUAAAGAAAGCGUAAUAGCUCACUGGUCGAGUCGGCCUGCGCGGAAGAUGUAACGGGGCUAAACCAUGCACCGAAGCUGCGGCAGCGACACUGUGUGUUGUUGGGUAGGGGAGCGUUCUUUUCGCCUGUGAAGGUGUGCUGUGAGGCAUGCUGGAGGUAUCAGAAGUGCGAAUGCUGACAUAAGUAACGAUAAAGCGGGUGAAAAGCCCGCUCGCCGGAAGACCAAGGGUUCCUGUCCAACGUUAAUCGGGGCAGGGUGAGUCGACCCCUAAGGCGAGGCCGAAAGGCGUAGUCGAUGGGAAACAGGUUAAUAUUCCUGUACUUGGUGUUACUGCGAAGGGGGGACGGAGAAGGCUAUGUUGGCCGGGCGACGGUUGUCCCGGUUUAAGCGUGUAGGCUGGUUUUCCAGGCAAAUCCGGAAAAUCAAGGCUGAGGCGUGAUGACGAGGCACUACGGUGCUGAAGCAACAAAUGCCCUGCUUCCAGGAAAAGCCUCUAAGCAUCAGGUAACAUCAAAUCGUACCCCAAACCGACACAGGUGGUCAGGUAGAGAAUACCAAGGCGCUUGAGAGAACUCGGGUGAAGGAACUAGGCAAAAUGGUGCCGUAACUUCGGGAGAAGGCACGCUGAUAUGUAGGUGAAGUCCCUCGCGGAUGGAGCUGAAAUCAGUCGAAGAUACCAGCUGGCUGCAACUGUUUAUUAAAAACACAGCACUGUGCAAACACGAAAGUGGACGUAUACGGUGUGACGCCUGCCCGGUGCCGGAAGGUUAAUUGAUGGGGUCAGCGCAAGCGAAGCUCUUGAUCGAAGCCCCGGUAAACGGCGGCCGUAACUAUAACGGUCCUAAGGUAGCGAAAUUCCUUGUCGGGUAAGUUCCGACCUGCACGAAUGGCGUAAUGAUGGCCAGGCUGUCUCCACCCGAGACUCAGUGAAAUUGAACUCGCUGUGAAGAUGCAGUGUACCCGCGGCAAGACGGAAAGACCCCGUGAACCUUUACUAUAGCUUGACACUGAACAUUGAGCCUUGAUGUGUAGGAUAGGUGGGAGGCUUUGAAGUGUGGACGCCAGUCUGCAUGGAGCCGACCUUGAAAUACCACCCUUUAAUGUUUGAUGUUCUAACGUGGACCCGUGAUCCGGGUUGCGGACAGUGUCUGGUGGGUAGUUUGACUGGGGCGGUCUCCUCCUAAAGAGUAACGGAGGAGCACGAAGGUUGGCUAAUCCUGGUCGGACAUCAGGAGGUUAGUGCAAUGGCAUAAGCCAGCUUGACUGCGAGCGUGACGGCGCGAGCAGGUGCGAAAGCAGGUCAUAGUGAUCCGGUGGUUCUGAAUGGAAGGGCCAUCGCUCAACGGAUAAAAGGUACUCCGGGGAUAACAGGCUGAUACCGCCCAAGAGUUCAUAUCGACGGCGGUGUUUGGCACCUCGAUGUCGGCUCAUCACAUCCUGGGGCUGAAGUAGGUCCCAAGGGUAUGGCUGUUCGCCAUUUAAAGUGGUACGCGAGCUGGGUUUAGAACGUCGUGAGACAGUUCGGUCCCUAUCUGCCGUGGGCGCUGGAGAACUGAGGGGGGCUGCUCCUAGUACGAGAGGACCGGAGUGGACGCAUCACUGGUGUUCGGGUUGUCAUGCCAAUGGCACUGCCCGGUAGCUAAAUGCGGAAGAGAUAAGUGCUGAAAGCAUCUAAGCACGAAACUUGCCCCGAGAUGAGUUCUCCCUGACCCUUUAAGGGUCCUGAAGGAACGUCGAAGACGACGACGUUGAUAGGCCGGGUGUGUAAGCGCAGCGAUGCGUUGAGCUAACCGGUACUAAUGAACCGUGAGGCUUAACCUC
This 2351-nucleotide ribosomal RNA is filed under the name Escherichia coli M6. RNAcentral describes it as "bacterial LSU rRNA". It matches the Rfam family "Bacterial large subunit ribosomal RNA", at positions 593 to 2925 of the family's 2925-position model. Lineage: Bacteria; Pseudomonadati; Pseudomonadota; Gammaproteobacteria; Enterobacterales; Enterobacteriaceae. The record is from RNAcentral.